GAUGAAGAACGCAGCAAAAUGCGAUAAGUAGUGUGAAUUGCAGAAUUCAGUGAAUCAUCGAAUCUUUGAACGCACAUUGCGCCCUUUGGUAUUCCUUAGGGCAUGCCUGUUCGAGCGUCAUUUAAACCUUCAAGCUAAGCUUGGUGUUGGGUGACUGUCCGCUUCACGGCGGACUCGCCUCAAAAUUAUUGGCGGCCGGUACAUUGGCUUCGAGCGCAGCAGAAACGCGAACUCGGGCCCGUCGUAUUGGCUCCCAGAAGCUAUCUUCACAAUUUUGACCUCGGAUCAGGUAGGGAUACCCGCUAAACUUAAGCAUAUCAAUAAGCGGAGGA
RNAcentral lists this unclassified non-coding RNA (332 nucleotides) under soil metagenome. RNAcentral's name for it is "partial contains 5.8S ribosomal RNA, internal transcribed spacer 2, and large subunit ribosomal RNA". The stretch from base 1 to 120 matches the Rfam family "5.8S ribosomal RNA", at positions 35 to 154 of the family's 154-position model. The record is from RNAcentral.